UCGGCCGUGGUGUAAUUGGCAACACUCUAGGUUUUGGUCCUAGCUUUCCGGGUUCGAGUCCUGGCGGCCGAGCAA
This 75-nucleotide transfer RNA is filed under the name Actinoplanes utahensis. RNAcentral's name for it is "tRNA-Gln". It matches the Rfam family "tRNA". Rfam says of the family: Transfer RNA (tRNA) molecules are approximately 80 nucleotides in length. The record is from RNAcentral. Lineage: Bacteria; Bacillati; Actinomycetota; Actinomycetes; Micromonosporales; Micromonosporaceae.